Molecule: ribosomal RNA, 497 nt
Filed under: uncultured bacterium
Lineage: Bacteria
Description: partial 16S ribosomal RNA
Rfam family: Bacterial small subunit ribosomal RNA
Source: RNAcentral
AAUGAACGCUGGCGGCGUGCCUAACACAUGCAAGUCGAGCGAAAAGAGGUGGAUCUUGAUGCUCAGGAGUGAGCGACGGAUGGGUGAGAAACCCGAAGAUACCUAGUAUAGAAGGAUGAGAAAUCGAAGGAAAAGCGGAGACAACAUCAGAUCAUAUGAUGAAACGCAGGGACCAAUAGUGAUAGAGCGUCUAGAUGUGCCUUAGAGAGGGAUCCGAGCCGGAUUAGCUAGUUGGUAAGGUAACGGCUUACCAAGGCAACGAUGCGUAGCCGAUCUGAGAGGGUGAUCGGCCACACUGGGACUGAGACACGGCCCAGACUCCUACGGGAGGCAGCAGUGGGGAAUCUUCCGCAAUGGGCGAAAGCCUGACCCAGCAACGCCGCGUGCGUGAUGAAGGUCUUCGGAUCGUAAACCUCUGUUAUUAGGAAAGAACAGAUGUGUGUUUAUCUCCUCGGGUCUUGACGGUACCGAAACAAAAAGCCACGGCUAACUACGUG